This 497-nucleotide ribosomal RNA is filed under the name uncultured bacterium. RNAcentral describes it as "partial 16S ribosomal RNA". It matches the Rfam family "Bacterial small subunit ribosomal RNA", at positions 28 to 507 of the family's 1533-position model. The record is from RNAcentral.
GAUGAACGCUGGCGGCGUGCCUAAUACAUGCAAGUCGAGCGAACAGACGAGGAGCUUGCUCCUCUGACGUUAGCGGCGGACGGGUGAGUAACACGUGGAUAACCUACCUAUAAGACUGGGAUAACUUCGGGAAACCGGAGCUAAUACCGGAUAAUAUAUUGAACCGCAUGGUUCAAUAGUGAAAGACGGUUUUGCUGUCACUUAUAGAUGGAUCCGCGCCGCAUUAGCUAGUUGGUAAGGUAACGGCUUACCAAGGCAACGAUGCGUAGCCGACCUGAGAGGGUGAUCGGCCACACUGGAACUGAGACACGGUCCAGACUCCUACGGGAGGCAGCAGUAUGGAAUCUUCCGCAAUGGGCGAAAGCCUGACGGAGCAACGCCGCGUGAGUGAUGAAGGUCUUCGGAUCGUAAAACUCUGUUAUUAGGGAAGAACAAAUGUGUAAGUAACUAUGCACGUCUUGACGGUACCUAAUCAGAAAGCCACGGCUAACUACGCG